Molecule: small RNA, 2081 nt
Filed under: Histoplasma capsulatum
Lineage: Eukaryota; Fungi; Ascomycota; Eurotiomycetes; Onygenales; Ajellomycetaceae
Also listed under: 1 other name
Description: hypothetical RNA
Source: RNAcentral
CGUGGCGUCUUUAUCCUUGGGAUCGUUUCUCCCAAGACGGUCGGUAUAAUCACUAGCGCCUUUUCCCGUGACCCGGCCAAGGCCAAUAGACUGCAAUGUAACAUCCACUUCAUCUUGCGUCAUCUCGUGGCUAUUUUCCUUCUGGCCCUCUAGAACAUCAUAGAGAGCAUAAAUCUGAUCAGACUUCAUAUCGAUUUCCCUUAAAAUAGCCUCAAUUGUAUGGAGUAUGGACUUUCGUUGCUUCUUGCCAAGCGACGCAUCAUGUUUGUUCAAUGCUGUCUGUUGAAGAGCAAGUCGCAUUUUCAGAUGUGCCAGCUCGUCUUCUAACAAUUUUAGAACGGCAGCAAGAGCCACAGCUGGUGGCUGUGACGGACGGAGGGUAGGCUCUUCGUUAUAUGGCGAUGGAUCUGGCAUGCGAUCGGAGACAGGGAUGGGUUUAGAGACCUUAAUGGAGUCAUGUCCUUCACCACUAUGAUCAUGGGUGGAAUUCUUGUUCAUGACACUUUUGCAAACUGAGCAGUUCUUCCCAUCAUGCUGCGCGACAUCAUCCAAAACACGCUGGGCAGCUUCUGACAACUUGAGUGGUUCUCCAGGUUUAGCGGUAACACCAUGCAUCGUAAUAUCAGGGAGAAUGAACGCUGAUGUCAUUUCCUCUGUCCUUUUCUGUCGGCGUCUGGUGUCAAUGCGCUGCGACAAAUCUCUGGUGGUAUUCGCAGCCGCCCCUUGCUCCGUGAUGUCAACACCAGGCACUUCAACUGUCACCGUGCGCCCGUCUCUAGAUACAGCAUUCUUCAGUAAUGACUUCAGUGUCACGGUUGAGGCGGUUAUUACGGGCAACCCUUUCCUCCUCCAGUGUUUUGCGAAGUUGGGCUAUCUCAUUGGCCUGUAUUAUUCAUUAUCGUUAGUGGGACUUCAUUGAGAUUUAGAACCGGGGAAGCCUACGUCAAUGAAGCUAAGAAAUGUUAAAUCGUUGGCUGGUCCAUUGCGGUAACGGAAACCUCUUGUUUCCGUCCCCAUUUCUCCCUCCGACAGCUCGAUAUCUUCGGAAUAUUCAAUAAUAGGUUUCUUGGUACGCUGUUUGCUGGUGUUGGGAAGCUUCUUUUCGGUGGUAUUUGCUCGUGUCUUCGUAUGUCUAGUGUGCUGCUGCACACUAAGAUGGGACAAGUCGAGAGAGAAUAGCUCGUCAUAUUCAGUCUGCUUCUGUUGUCGGGUAUGAAUGUUAUGUGAGUUUUGCCUUUGUGCAUCAACAGCAUUUUUGCGGACUGAAGCAUCAGCGUCCAGACUUUCAACAGCUCGAGCUGGCCUUGUUCGAUUAGUUUCCGUUGUUUCGAUCUGGUCUCUGGUGGCGAUGCCUCGACCAAUUGUCUUGGAAUCGUGAGUCUGCUUAUGUUGUUUGCCAUACGUUGCUUCGGGGUACUCAGUCAGCGAUUCAAGUUGAAUCUUCAGUUCAUCGUUCUCCUGUCCCAACACGUCGUUUUCCAACUUCAGUUCCUGCAAAUUGAGAUAAGCCACGCCUAAUUGGGUCCGGGCUGAGUCGCGUUCUUGUAUCAAGUGCUGAAUUCUAGUCUCGUGGCUGGAAAUUUUGCGGGUAAAGAUAUCUAACCGAUUCUGAAGUGCCGAAUUGGCUGCUUCCAAUCCUAGAUAGACCGAGUUAUAAGUCAGGUUGUUACGCUUGCGCGCAGAUCAAUAUAUAUAUGUACUCACUACUCCUUUGAACAGAAUGGUUGCCAUUUCUUCUUCCAUCAUUAAUAUCUUCAUCACCGCCAUACAUUCUCAAGUUUUUAUCUUGCUUCUGCCAGCGAGUGUUUUCACUCUUCAAUAUCAUAUUCUCUUCUUCAAUUUCUUCAAGUCUACGUUCCAUAUCGGAUUUGUCCAUCUGGAGGGCUUCAAGUUUUUCCUGAAGCAAUUUCAAGGAAAUAAAAAUGGCCUUUUCGUCAUCCGGAACGGGGAUAGAGUCAAGAGGGAAAUGUUCAUGGCGCUGGCGAUGAGCAGUUCCUACAGCGGGAGGUGAAGUGAAGCGUGUCGUUCGCGAUCGUCCCUUUGGCGUUCCAUCUUCAUAAAUCCCGGAGACGAGAUCAGAG